Molecule: long non-coding RNA, 2746 nt
Organism: Aethalodelphis obliquidens (Pacific white-sided dolphin)
Lineage: Eukaryota; Metazoa; Chordata; Mammalia; Artiodactyla; Delphinidae
Exons: 3
Source: RefSeq, a predicted model, not a curated record
UAUAUAUAUAUAUGUAUCUCCUAUUAGUUCUGUUUCUGGGGAGAAGCCUGACUAAUACAUCAGCCAAAGAGGGGACGGUGUUGCCUGGGAGGAAGGUAAAGUAAAAAAUGAAACACACAAAAGCCCCCAGAAAAACUCAUAUAAGUUACAGGGUACCCCGAUGUCACGAAUAAACUCUAGAGCAAAGAAAGAGAAUGAGGCCAGAGUUUACUUCAAAGUCAUGUAGGUUGGACUGUGGCAGAGUUUCACUGGGUGCAUGGCCACCUCGCUGGGGGCUCUACCUCGCAGACUUGUAUACUGCUAAGUGCGGCUGUGUGGCUAGGGUCAGACCAACGGAACAUGAGGGGAAACUGAUGUAACUCCAGGACAUCUCAGUAAAGGUGAAGUCAUCUUCCUAGACCUUUACCUCUUCUGGUUUUUGAAGGUCGGAAACCUAAUUUGAAAAUGGUCCGCUUUUAACCCCAGCGACAAGCACCACACUCUGAAAGAUGCUGGAGGAAGGAGAUGGAAGGAAUCAAGGCCCCUGAACGACCUCAUGGCGCGGAGCCGCCACAGUAGCAUGGGCUGUCGGUCCAUCUCUGGACUGCGUUCCAUUAGAGAGAUGAAGCUCUCCCCUAUUCGUCACGAUAUCCUGGAGUCUCUGUUACAGCAGUUCAGCUUUAUCGUAACUGAAACAGACACAUGGGAUCAAGCACAUGGGGAAUCACUGCAGUUCCACACAGUGGGGACAGAAGUGACAUUUGUCUUCUGUGUUCACUGCUGCAGCCCAGAGGACGGAACUACUGGUAUCUGCUCAUAGUAGGCACUCUGCAAGUAUGUGCUGAGUGAAUAGAUAGGGGGAGUCAAUGCCGGAUUGGAAUUGAAAGGAAAGUGAAGAAGUGGGGCGAGGGUAUCGAGUUACAUGUCUGUUACAAAGAUCUGCUGACGAGAAGGGAGAGGCUCUGAGGAACCAUCUGAGUGUCUUUGCAGAAGCAUAAGGCAUGUGUGCGUGAACGUGACACAGCAAAGACGAGGGCAGAGCUAAACAAAACUGGAACACAUACAGUAUGAGAAAGGAGGGAGACAAAAGAAAGUGGGAAGCACGGUGAACCACUGGAGAGAAUGGUGCCCAGAACAGGGGCCCAGCUGAUGUGAGCAGAGGAAGUUGAAAACAGUCAUCGUGAAGAAAUAGCAGAGUGAGCGCAGGACCACGCCGGGAAGAAAGGGGCAUCCUGAAAGGCUCGCUGAUGAGGCUGUUACAGUAGCGAUCCACCCGGAUCACGUGAAGUUGCGUCGCCUAAAUUGUGCACCGAGAAUGUCUCUUGGGAGUUGUUUCCCUCUGGCUUUGUCAAAGUACCUGCUUCAUAAGGCCUGCCUCCUUGGAGCCUGGGACACGUCUGACCACCCAGAUCGUCCUCUGUGACACAACUGUCCCCUGAACCUCUGCUCGGACCUCCCCCGAUGAACCGCUCCCAUCUCCUUCCUUACUGGCUUCCCCUGAUGACCCACGGAUGUCCCUGCAGUCACAGGCCUUUUGCUGGGGGCUGAGCAAGUACAGCAUCGUUCAUUCUGACUCCCCCAUCCAUCCGUCUCUCUGAAUCUGCUAAAACUUUCUUAGUCGCUCUCUAACCAUGACUCAUCUCACCAAGCAAAACGGGUAAAGCCAUGUUACCAACUAUGUUGUCAUUUUAAGUUUACAACCCACGGAACACUUAUUCACCGGCGCAUGUCGAUGGCUACGCACGUUGAUUUAAACCCCCUUUUCCAAUUAUGUCAUUAUGGGAAUAACUGGACACAUUUUGAAUCUUAAUUAUCUUUUUAUGCUAUACCGUAGGCCAUAGGAGAGGGAUGACAGCUUUCUUUGGACUGACACCCUAGCUUGUACACAGGGUUCAAGUCACAUGAGCUGAGAUCAGUUUUAAGUUCAAAGAAUAUAUGUUUUAACUUCCUGAGGAAGCAGAGAACAUGAUUUUACCAAGUUGCCAUGUUAAUCAAACAGAGACACAGCCUUGAAGGGGAGCGAGCUCACAAUCAGAGCUCAGGCAGGUCAACAGUGUGUCCCAUGAGAACGGUGGCCAUCAGGGGUGCGCCAUUGCUUUCAGAACCUGCGUCAUUAAAAAUACAUCUUCUCUUCUUCUCAAGUAUUCCCCUUGGUUGCUCAAAAUUUCUUCACAGAAGAAAUAGAAGAAAAAGUAAUACAUAGCACACGAAAUCAAAGAACCAGGGUUUCGUUUAGAAGAAUGCAAAACUGUAUUUACUGUGAUUACGAUUCAGAAAAACUGGCAGCCUCCAAUUUCUUUUCUGCAAUUCAAUUAACCUUAUGCGUACCUUUCUGCUUUAAGGUGUUAAUUUUUUCCACUCAAGAGCAAACAAAAGGAGAAUGAAAUAAAUUAUGAGAAUGUGAAAUGUAACUGAUUAAAAAAAUGGGAGAGACUGGCAUCUCUUCCUCGGGGAACAUUUGUUUUAGGGUCACCUUUCAAUUCCUCUAACUGCUGUCUUCAGAAGGACUUACAUUAAUUCUGGAUAUUAUUUUCAGUUUUUUGAAGAAAUUGGCUCACGUUUCUCACAAUCAAGGAGUUGGAACUUGAUUUUGCAUAAGAUAUGAGUGUUGCAUCUGGAAAAGAACUGCCCCAUCUCCCACAUAAUUAGGAUAAGUUCAAGUAGAUCGUAAGUAACAGACGCUUCAAUACCCCUCACGCUUACAAGGAAAUCUUCAGAUAGAACAGUAAUACACAGUCUGCAGCCAAGGUGGUUCAAGGUCAGUUUC